This 485-nucleotide ribosomal RNA is filed under the name uncultured bacterium. RNAcentral's name for it is "bacterial SSU rRNA". It matches the Rfam family "Bacterial small subunit ribosomal RNA", at positions 8 to 490 of the family's 1533-position model. The record is from RNAcentral.
AGAGUUUGAUCCUGGCUCAGGAUGAACGCUGGCGGCGUGCCUAAUACAUGCAAGUCGAGCGAGAACGGGGCUCUUAACAGAGCGCCAAGUAAAGCGGCGAACGGGUGAGUAACACGUAGGUGACCUGCCCCGGAGAGGGGGACAACCACCGGAAACGGUGGCUAAUACCCCAUAAGCUCACGGUCGUUAGAGGGGCGGUGAGAAAAGGGUGCGCACUUGAGUGCGUGCCGCUCCGGGAGGGGCCUGCGGCCCAUCAGCUAGCUGGUAGGGUAACGGCCUACCAGGGCGAAGACGGGUAGGGGGCCUGAGAGGGUGGUCCCCCACACGGGCACUGAGACACGGGCCCGACUCCUACGGGAGGCAGCAGUAAGGAAUAUUGCGCAAUGGGCGAAAGCCUGACGCAGCAACGCCGCGUGCCCGAUGAAGGCCUUCGGGUUGUAAAGGGCUUUUCUGGCUGACGAGGAAGGACGGUAGCCAGGAAUAAG